AAAAAGUUUGAUUCUGGCUUGUUCAAAUUUGCUUUUAUUUAGUUGUACAUGUGUAUUUUUGUGUGAUUUUUUAAUCUAGAUGAUUUUUGUAUUUAGAGUCGCAGUUCUUUAUUUUAUUUUUUUGUGAAAUUACAGAGAUAGCUAAUAUAAUUAGCUCUGACCAAUGUUGUGCCAGCAGUCGCGGUUAUACAAUUAGAGCAAGUGAAUUUUAUUGGUUUAAUAUUUAAUUAGAGUUUAUUUAUUUAAUUUUGAAGUUUUGAGGUGAAAUUGAUAUUUUGAUUUUGAUAAUUUUAUGAUGAUUAAAUAUGAAGAUUCAAAUUGAAACUGGGAUUAGAGACCCCAUUAUUAUGAAUUGUGAAUUAUAUAACCUUAGUAUUAAUAGAUAAGAUCUUUAAAUUAAAAGAAUUUGGCGGUGAUUUAGUCUUUUCAGAGGAAUCUGCCCUGUAAUUGAUGACCCACGAUAAAUUUUACUUUAUUUGGGCUUGUAUAUCUCUGUCAUUGGAUGUCUUGUUAGGGUAAUUUCCGUGAAUCAUUAAUGUGAAUAAUGUCAGGUCAAGGUGCAGCAAUAAUAAAGAAGAGGUGGAUUACAUUAAAUGUAUUUAUGGAUUGAUUAUAUGGAAAUAAUUCUGAAAUUGGAUUUGAAAGUAACUUUUGUUAGAAUACAAAGUUGAUUUAGCUCUAAAUCAUGCACAUAUCGCCCGUCACUCUCGUUUUUUAAAAUGAGAUAAGUCGUAACAAAGUAGGCUUACCGGAAGGUGAGCCUAGAUAUAU
RNAcentral lists this non-coding RNA (771 nucleotides) under Triatoma rubrofasciata (large kissing bug). Lineage: Eukaryota; Metazoa; Arthropoda; Insecta; Hemiptera; Reduviidae. The record is from RNAcentral.